GGAAAUAAUCCAAUAUACAAGCAAAAGAGCAAACUAAGUUCAAAGUUUUUGUUACUAAUUCUAAGGACAUAAAGCCCAUUUAUUUGGAGAAAACAAAGGCGCAACGCAACCAAACAUAGUAAAACAUCUGCAAACAACACUGGUAAUUGAACUAAACAACCCUCAACACACCUCCUUUACUUCGUUUCUCUUCUCUUCUUCGUUCCAGCAGUCCUGCAGAACAGAUUUGGGAGAUCCACAGAGGGAACUCCUAGUGAACUUCCGGUAGACAAUCAAACCACCCUUACCAAGUUCUUCUGGGCUCCACUCAGCGUGAGAGUAGCCCUUAACGUCAAAAGAGCAAAUGCGCUCCAGUAGCUCACAAGCAACAUAAUCAGCAUGCAAAGCAACAGAAAAUUCAUCAGGCUGGAAACAUGUCAGCACCCUCCUAACCAGUGACCCGAGACUCGAGGAGUUCAAAUCAUACCCAACUGCUUCAAAGCUAGCAUAACUAAAACCAUCUUCUGGUGUAACAUGAAUAGUAGAAAGCGCAGCUCCUUCAAUAGAAUUCAUGGAAUAACCACAAGGAUCAAACUCGAAAUCACAUAUAUCAGAGUUAGGGAGGAUCUUCCUUAUGCCGGAUCUAAUAGUCAUUUCAGCUGCCGAGCUUGAUUCAGUCUUGUAAAAGACAGAAGCCUUCUUCCUUAACAGAUUAGUCAUGCACAUCUCAAGAGUGUAGACAGGGUUCUUAGUCUGAAUCGAUCCAGCAGAGGCAGAGUAAACAUGCCAUUUUUGAAGAUUGUCAUGACUGCCCAAAAUUACAGCUUUGCUGCCUGAACUAAGAUUUCCAAAGUAGCUAUCAAGGACCGCAACUUCUUCAGAGAAGUGACGAUGAGGAAAUGACUGGGCACCAGGGAAGAUGAAGCUCCCACGGGUAUACUUCACCGCUUGUACUUUGAGCGAAAGGGUAUCAGCCAACUUCAGGAUGACCGGAAUUGAGAGAAGCAACUUUGUGGUACCACAUGUCUUGAUGACUAUCUUGUAAGGAUAAAUGAAGAGGCUGGACUCAGAAAGGACAUAGGAGUCAACACACUCAUUAGAAAGAGAAUCAACUAUGGUGCACUCAGCAGGUCCUAGGAACUCAUCCAAUUGUGCUUUUGACAGUGAUCGAAGUCCUUUUCCUUCGGGAUCAGCAAAAAGGCCAGGCUCAAAAAAUGAAAUUUCAAGCCUCUUCUCAUAACCU
Molecule: unclassified non-coding RNA, 1222 nt
Filed under: Hevea brasiliensis (rubber tree)
Lineage: Eukaryota; Viridiplantae; Streptophyta; Magnoliopsida; Malpighiales; Euphorbiaceae
Source: RNAcentral